CCUACGUGAGGCAGCAGUGGGGAAUAUUGCACAAUGGGGGAAACCCUGAUGCAGCGACGCCGCGUGAGUGAAGAAGGAAUUCGUUACGUAAAGCUCUAUCAGCAGGGAAGAAAAUGACGGUACCUGAGUUAGCAGGCCCGGCUCACUAAGUGCAAGCAGCCGCGGUAAUACGUAGGGGGCAGGCGUGAUCCGGAUUGACUGGGUGUAAAGGGAGGGUAGACGGUGCGGCAAGUCGGGAGUGAAAUGCCGCGGCGUAACUGCGGAACUGCUGUGGAAACUGGCGAGCUAGAGUGCGGGAGGGGUAAGCGGAAUUCCUAGUGUAGCGGUGAAAUGCGUAGAUAUUAGGAGGAACACCGGUGGCGAAGGCGGCCUGCUGGACCGUAACUGACGUGGAGGCUCGAAAGCGUGGGGAGCAAACAGGAUUAGAUACCCUUGUAGUC
Molecule: ribosomal RNA, 440 nt
Filed under: uncultured bacterium
Lineage: Bacteria
Description: partial 16S ribosomal RNA
Rfam family: Bacterial small subunit ribosomal RNA
Source: RNAcentral